AAUGCUGACAUGAGUAACGAUAAUGGGAGUGAAAAACUCCCACGCCGGAAGACCAAGGGUUCCUAUCCCAUGUUAAUCAGGGUAGGGUAAGUCGACCCCUAAGGCGAGGCCGAAAGGCGUAGUCGAUGGGAAACAGAUUAAUAUUUCUGUACUCGAUAUAAUUGCGAUGGGGGGACGGAGCAGGCUAAGCAAGCAUAGCGUUGGUAGUCUAUGUGAAAGUGAGUAGGGCGUUUGUUUAGGUAAAUCCGGACAAACAUUAAACCUGAGACACGAGACGAGUCACUACGGUGAUGAAGUUGCUGAUGCCAUACUUCCAGGAAAAGCCUCUAAGCUUCAGAUUAUAUGGAAUCGUACCCCAAACCGACACAGGUGGCCAGGUAGAGAAUACUAAGGCG
This 395-nucleotide ribosomal RNA is filed under the name uncultured eukaryote. Its description in RNAcentral is "partial Bacterial large subunit ribosomal RNA". It matches the Rfam family "Bacterial large subunit ribosomal RNA", at positions 1293 to 1688 of the family's 2925-position model. The record is from RNAcentral.